Molecule: unclassified non-coding RNA, 885 nt
Filed under: Hevea brasiliensis (rubber tree)
Lineage: Eukaryota; Viridiplantae; Streptophyta; Magnoliopsida; Malpighiales; Euphorbiaceae
Source: RNAcentral
AUGGGGAGAAGAGAGCCAGAGUGAGUUGCCCGAAAGUGGAAUCAAAUCAAUAAGAUAAUUGAGUAAAGGAUCGAUGAUGACUGGAGUACUAUGGAGUAGUAGUAUUAUGUGGAAACACAUCUGUUUCUUCUGCUCAACCCAAACUUCCAAGCAUAUAUAAUAGACAAUAAAAAUUAAGAAGGUGAUUCAUGUUCAUUUACCAUUCUAUUUCCGAAGCUAAUAGACGCACAAACAAAUAGAAGAAUGCAGAAUAAGGCAUGUACAAAGCAGAAUAUUCCACCAGUAGACAGAAAAUGACUAUGCAAGGCUGUGCAUGACCCUCUUGAUUUGGAAAUUUCUAAUGUGCCUGUAAUAAGCAUAGGGAAUCCAAUGGCAGCUACAAUCCAGGAGAAAACGAGACAUGCAAACCAUAGUUGCCUGUUACUGGGCGAUCUUUCCAGCUGUUCCAUGCAACAAAUGCACAUAAAGCCACCAUGCAAGUUAGCUGCAAGGUGGGCUACUGCCAAAAGUGCUGUGGCAGCUACCCCAAGCCUGAAUCCGUCACCUUUUGUUUCUCUACACUGAAAACUCCCUGUCUUCCCGUUUGGGACGAUCAUCUGUACGCUUGUUUCUAUCUUGUUCGGCUUGAAUGCCGAAAAUUCCAGCAACAGCAUCUAUUCCCACAAGCACCAGACAAACAAGAAAAGCACCAAUUCUUGCCAUAUCUUUUUCCAAUCUGGAAGCCGAUGAGCAAAAUUAAACAAAAAGCUUUAUAGAGAAGAGGGAAGAAACGUGAACGAAAAAGAGAGACAACUUUGUGGGAGAAUUUCGCUCAGGAAGUUUCUGGUUCGAGGAAAGAGAAGAAUAACGAUGUACGAUAAAAACUAGUAGCAUAGAGGCAGCUGA